Molecule: ribosomal RNA, 197 nt
Filed under: uncultured bacterium
Lineage: Bacteria
Description: partial 16S ribosomal RNA
Rfam family: Bacterial small subunit ribosomal RNA
Source: RNAcentral
ACGCUCGACACCUACGGGGGGCAGCAGUGAGGGAUAUUGGUCAAUGGGGGAAACCCUGAACCAGCAACGCCGCGUGAGGGAUGACGGUCUUCGGAUUGUAAACCUCUGUCCUCUGUGAAGAUAAUGACGGUAGCAGAGGAGGAAGCUCCGGCUAACUACGUGCCACAGCCGCGGUAAUCUGAGCGGGCUGGCAAGGC